UACUAGAGUGAGGUGCAGCUGG
RNAcentral lists this non-coding RNA (22 nucleotides) under Rattus norvegicus (Norway rat). The record is from RNAcentral. Lineage: Eukaryota; Metazoa; Chordata; Mammalia; Rodentia; Muridae.